RNAcentral lists this ribosomal RNA (497 nucleotides) under uncultured bacterium. Its description in RNAcentral is "partial 16S ribosomal RNA". It matches the Rfam family "Bacterial small subunit ribosomal RNA", at positions 28 to 507 of the family's 1533-position model. The record is from RNAcentral.
GAUGAACGCUGGCGGCGUGCCUAAUACAUGCAAGUCGAGCGAACGGACGAGAAGCUUGCUUCUCUGAUGUUAGCGGCGGACGGGUGAGUAACACGUGGAUAACCUACCUAUAAGACUGGGAUAACUUCGGGAAACCGGAGCUAAUACCGGAUAAUAUUUUGAACCGCAUGGUUCAAAAGUAAAAGACGGUCUUGCUGUCACUUAUAGAUGGAUCCGCGCUGCAUUAGCUAGUUGGUAAGGUAACGGCUUACCAAGGCAACGAUGCAUAGCCGACCUGAGAGGGUGAUCGGCCACACUGGAACUGAGACACGGUCCAGACUCCGACGGGGGGCAGCAGUAGGGAAUCUUCCGCAAUGGGCGAAAGCCUGACGGAGCAACGCCGCGUGAGUGAUGAAGGUCUUCGGAUCGUAAAACUCUGUUAUUAGGGAAGAACAUAUGUGUAAGUAACUGUGCACAUCUUGACGGUACCUAAUCAGAAAGCCACGGCUAACUACGUG